This 421-nucleotide ribosomal RNA is filed under the name Trebouxia showmanii. Its description in RNAcentral is "eukaryotic LSU rRNA". It matches the Rfam family "Eukaryotic large subunit ribosomal RNA", at positions 723 to 1161 of the family's 3401-position model. Lineage: Eukaryota; Viridiplantae; Chlorophyta; Trebouxiophyceae; Trebouxiales; Trebouxiaceae. The record is from RNAcentral.
UUCUGACUGGUGGGAUGGCUUAUGCCUGCACCAUCGACCGACCAUGAUCUUCUGUGAAAGGUUUGAGUACGAGCAUACCUGUUGGGACCCGAAAGAUGGUGAACUAUGCCUGAGCAGGGCGAAGCCAGAGGAAACUCUGGUGGAGGCUCGUAGAUGUGCUGACGUGCAAAUCGCUUUUCGGACUUGGGUAUAGGGGCGAAAGACUACUAGUAGCUGGUUCCCUCCGAAGUUUCCCCCAGGAUAGCUGGAGCUUGAUCAGUUUUAUCGGGUAAAGCGAAUGAUUAGAGGUACCGGGGAUGAAACAUCCUCGACCUAUUCUCAAACUUUAAAUAGGUAAGACGUCUGGGUUGCUUAAUUGAACCCAGGCAUUCAAUGAGAGCUCCAAGUGGGCCAUUUUUGGUAAGCAGAACUGGCGAUGCGG